GGCAAACGGGUGAGUAACACGUAAGGAACUUACCUCUAGAUCUGGGAUAACUUUGCCAACGCGGAGCUAAUACCGGAUGUGAUCAUUGAAUCGCAUGGUUUGGUGAUUAAAGAUGACCUCUUCUUGAAAGUUAUCGUUUAGAGAUGGCCUUGCGUCCCAUUAGCUAGUUGGCGGGGUAAUGGCCCACCAAGGCUACGAUGGGUAGCCGGCCUGAGAGGGUGACCGGCCACAUUGGGACUGAGAUACGGCCCAGACUCCUACGGGAGGCAGCAGUAGGGAAUUUUGCGCAAUGGGCGAAAGCCUGACGCAGCAACGCCGCGUGAGGGAUGAAGGUCUUCGGAUUGUAAACCUCUGUUGAGUGGGAAGAAACGCAUUAUGGCUAAUAUCCAUAGUGCCUGACGGUACCAUUCGAGGAAGCCCCGGCUAACUACGUGCCAGCAGCCGCGGUAAUACGUAGGGGGCAAGCGUUGUUCGGAAUCACUGGGCGUAAAGGGAGCGUAGGCGGAAAUUCAAGUCAGAAGUGUAAUCCAUAGGCUCAACCUGUGGUUCGCUUUUGAUUCUGCUUUUCUUGAGUAUUGGAGAGGGAGACGGAAUUCCAGGUGUAGCGGUGGAAUGCGUAGAUAUCUGGAAGAACACCAGUAGCGAAGGCGGUCUCCUGGCCAAAUACUGACGCUGAGGCUCGAAAGCGUGGGGAGCAAACAGGAUUAGAUACCCUGGUAGUCCACGCUGUAAACGAUGGACACUAGAUGUCGGACCCGUUCGCGGGAUCGGUAUCGUAGCUAACGCAUUAAGUGUCCCGCCUGGGGAGUACGCUCGCAAGGGUGAAACUCAAAGGAAUUGACGGGGGCCCGCACAAGCGGUGGAGCAUGUGCUUUAAUUCGAUGCAACGCGAAGAACCUUACCUGGGCUUGACAUGGGAGUGAAAGUUUCCAGAGAUGGAGGCCUUUCCUUCGGGAACACUCUACACAGGUGCUGCAUGGUUGUCGUCAGCUCGUGUCGUGAGAUGUUGGGUUAAGUCCCGCAACGAGCGCAACCCUCGUCCUUAGUUGCCAUCAGGUAAAGCUGGGAACUCUAAGGAGACCGCCUGGUUUAACCAGGAGGAAGGUGGGGAUGACGUCAAAUCAUCAUGGCCCUUACGUCCAGGGCUAGACACGUGCUACAAUGGGUGGUACAGUGGGAUGCAAGACUGCGAAGUCAAGCUAAUCCCUUAAAACCAUUCUCAGUUCAGAUUGGAGUCUGCAAUUCGACACCAUGAAGGUGGAAUCGCUAGUAAUCGCGGAUCAGCAUGCCGCGGUGAAUAUGUUCCCGGGCCUUGUGCACACCGCCCGUCAAGCCAUGAAAGAUGGCAGUACCCGAAGUCGUCUCUCUAACCGCAAGGAGGAGGACGCCUAAGGUAAGGCCGUUGAUUGGGG
This 1412-nucleotide ribosomal RNA is filed under the name metagenome. RNAcentral describes it as "bacterial SSU rRNA". It matches the Rfam family "Bacterial small subunit ribosomal RNA". The record is from RNAcentral.